RNAcentral lists this non-coding RNA (30 nucleotides) under Rattus norvegicus (Norway rat). Lineage: Eukaryota; Metazoa; Chordata; Mammalia; Rodentia; Muridae. The record is from RNAcentral.
UGAAACUCUAUGUAACUAAUCAAGGAUGGC